This 489-nucleotide ribosomal RNA is filed under the name uncultured bacterium. RNAcentral describes it as "partial 16S ribosomal RNA". It matches the Rfam family "Bacterial small subunit ribosomal RNA", at positions 30 to 507 of the family's 1533-position model. The record is from RNAcentral.
UGAACGCUGGCGGUAGGCUAACACAUGCAAGUCGAACGGCAGCACAGUAAGAGCUUGCUCUUACGGGUGGCGAGUGGCGGACGGGUGAGGAAUACAUCGGAAUCUACUUUUUCGUGGGGGAUAACGUAGGGAAACUUACGCUAAUACCGCAUACGACCUACGGGUGAAAGCAGGGGAUCUUCGGACCUUGCGCGAUUGAAUGAGCCGAUGUCGGAUUAGCUAGUUGGCGGGGUAAAGGCCCACCAAGGCGACGAUCCGUAGCUGGUCUGAGAGGAUGAUCAGCCACACUGGAACUGAGACACGGUCCAGACUCCUACGGGAGGCAGCAGUGGGGAAUAUUGGACAAUGGGCGCAAGCCUGAUCCAGCCAUACCGCGUGGGUGAAGAAGGCCUUCGGGUUGUAAAGCCCUUUUGUUGGGAAAGAAAAGCAGCAGGUUAAUACCCCGCUGUUCUGACGGUACCCAAAGAAUAAGCACCGGCUAACUUCGUG